RNAcentral lists this transfer RNA (72 nucleotides) under Ovis aries (sheep). It matches the Rfam family "tRNA". Rfam says of the family: Transfer RNA (tRNA) molecules are approximately 80 nucleotides in length. Lineage: Eukaryota; Metazoa; Chordata; Mammalia; Artiodactyla; Bovidae. The record is from Rfam by way of RNAcentral.
UCCCUGGUGGCUCAGAUGGUAAAGCAUCUGCCUACAAAGCCGGAGACCCAGGUUCAAUCCCUGGAUUGGGAA